Molecule: ribosomal RNA, 229 nt
Filed under: uncultured bacterium
Lineage: Bacteria
Description: partial 16S ribosomal RNA
Rfam family: Bacterial small subunit ribosomal RNA
Source: RNAcentral
CGUGUAGGCGGUUACGUAAGUCUGAUGUGAAAGCCCGGGGCUUAACCCCGGAAGUGCAUUGGAUACUGCGUAACUAGAGGACGAGAGAGGGAAGUGGAAUUCCUGGUGUAGGGGUGAAAUCCGUAGAUAUCAGGAGGAACAUCAGAGGCGAAGGCGACUUCCUGGCUCGUAUCUGACGCUGAGACGCGAAAGCGUGGGGAGCAAACAGGAUUAGAUACCCUGGUAGUCC